AGAGUUUGAUCAUGGCUCAGGACGAACGCUGGCGGCGUGCUUAACACAUGCAAGUCGAACGAUGAACCACUUCGGUGGGGAUUAGUGGCGAACGGGUGAGUAACACGUGGGCAAUCUGCCCUUCACUCUGGGACAAGCCCUGGAAACGGGGUCUAAUACCGGAUAACACCUCCACUCUCCUGAGUGGAGGUUAAAAGCUCCGGCGGUGAAGGAUGAGCCCGCGGCCUAUCAGCUUGUUGGUGAGGUAAUGGCUCACCAAGGCGACGACGGGUAGCCGGCCUGAGAGGGCGACCGGCCACACUGGGACUGAGACACGGCCCAGACUCCUACGGGAGGCAGCAGUGGGGAAUAUUGCACAAUGGGCGAAAGCCUGAUGCAGCGACGCCGCGUGAGGGAUGACGGCCUUCGGGUUGUAAACCUCUUUCAGCAGGGAAGAAGCGAAAGUGACGGUACCUGCAGAAGAAGCGCCGGCUAACUACGUGCCAGCAGCCGCGGUAAUACGUAGGGCGCAAGCGUUGUCCGGAAUUAUUGGGCGUAAAGAGCUCGUAGGCGGCUUGUCACGUCGGGUGUGAAAGCCCGGGGCUUAACCCCGGGUCUGCAUUCGAUACGGGCUAGCUAGAGUGUGGUAGGGGAGAUCGGAAUUCCUGGUGUAGCGGUGAAAUGCGCAGAUAUCAGGAGGAACACCGGUGGCGAAGGCGGAUCUCUGGGCCAUUACUGACGCUGAGGAGCGAAAGCGUGGGGAGCGAACAGGAUUAGAUACCCUAGUAGUCC
Molecule: ribosomal RNA, 771 nt
Filed under: uncultured bacterium
Lineage: Bacteria
Description: bacterial SSU rRNA
Rfam family: Bacterial small subunit ribosomal RNA
Source: RNAcentral